Molecule: ribosomal RNA, 560 nt
Filed under: uncultured Arthrobacter sp.
Lineage: Bacteria; Bacillati; Actinomycetota; Actinomycetes; Micrococcales; Micrococcaceae
Description: bacterial SSU rRNA
Rfam family: Bacterial small subunit ribosomal RNA
Source: RNAcentral
AGAGUUUGAUCCUGGCUCAGGAUGAACGCUGGCGGCGUGCUUAACACAUGCAAGUCGAACGAUGAUCCCCAGCUUGCUGGGGGGAUUAGUGGCGAACGGGUGAGUAGCACGUGAGUAACCUGCCCUUAACUCUGGGAUAAGCCUGGGAAACUGGGUCUAAUACCGGAUAUGACUCCUCAUCGCAUGGUGGGGGGUGGAAAGCUUUAUUGUGGUUUUGGAUGGACUCGCGGCCUAUCAGCUUGUUGGUGAGGUAAUGGCUCACCAAGGCGACGACGGGUAGCCGGCCUGAGGGGGUGACCGGCCACACUGGGACUGAGACACGGCCCAGACUCCUACGGGAGGCAGCAGUGGGGAAUAUUGCACAAUGGGCGCAAGCCUGAUGCAGCGACGCCGCGUGAGGGAUGACGGCCUUCGGGUUGUAAACCCUCUUUCAGUAGGGAAGAAGCGAAAGUGACGGUACCUGCAGAAGAAGCGCCGGCUAACUACGUGCCAGCAGCCGCGGUAAUACGUAGGGCGCAAGCGUUUAUCCCGGAAUUAUUGGGCCGUAAAGAGCUCGUUAG